Molecule: long non-coding RNA, 608 nt
Organism: Galeopterus variegatus (Sunda flying lemur)
Lineage: Eukaryota; Metazoa; Chordata; Mammalia; Dermoptera; Cynocephalidae
Exons: 2
Source: RefSeq, a predicted model, not a curated record
UCCAUUCAAUUUAUAUCAUAUGGACUUGUGGAUAUUUUUAUUUUAUAGGUUAUAAUCCUUUCUACCGUGAUUUAUGUUCCUGUCAGAUACUUUCAAUGACCCACAUCACAACCAUGGCCACUCGAUAGGUGUAAAUCCACAGUCCUGUACAGCCUAAGUCAGAUCUUUUGGCUUUUCUGUCUCGGGACCUUCUCCAAAACCCCUCAACCCCAUGCCCCAGAUCCCCCUCUCCACAGGAAACCACUGCUAGUGGUUUGGGUUGUGUCCUUCCAGACCCUUCUGCCUGCAUUUACACACGUUGGUCUCUGCCUGUUCCACUUGUGGGUGAAAGUAUUUUCAUACAAACGAGAUCUUUUCACCAAUAUGUCCUGGUUGCUGUGGUCGGCGGAAUAACAGCCCUGAAAGAUGUCCAUGUCCUAAUCCCUGGAACCUGUGAAUAUGGUACUUAAUAUGGCACAACAGCACUGGGAUCCGAACCCUUGACCUUGAAGAAUCAUGUGCUGUUUUCAACCACUGACCGUGUGGGGAUUCAUCGCAGCCGUCUUAGGAAUCUCGUGCAAGUACCUUUGUGCGAUCGUUUAUAAAGCUGUCUGGUUUUCUGAUUCUAA